AAGACAUUGUGUCUUCGAGUCGUUGAUUUCACACUGCCGAGAAAAGCCUCUAGAUAGAAAAUAGGUGCCCGUACCGCAAACCGACACAGGUAGUCAAGAUGAGAAUUCUAAGGUGAGCGAGCGAACUCUCGUUAAGGAACUCGGCAAAAUGACCCCGUAACUUCGGGAGAAGGGGUGCUCUUUAGGGUUAACGCCCAGAAGAGCCGCAGUGAAUAGGCCCAAGCGACUGUUUAUCAAAAACACAGGUCUCUGCUAAACCGUAAGGUGAUGUAUAGGGGCUGACGCCUGCCCGGUGCUGGAAGGUUAAGAGGAGUGGUUAGCUUCUGCGAAGCUACGAAUCGAAGCC
Molecule: ribosomal RNA, 346 nt
Filed under: Staphylococcus aureus
Lineage: Bacteria; Bacillati; Bacillota; Bacilli; Caryophanales; Staphylococcaceae
Description: partial 23S ribosomal RNA
Rfam family: Bacterial large subunit ribosomal RNA
Source: RNAcentral